This 497-nucleotide ribosomal RNA is filed under the name uncultured bacterium. RNAcentral's name for it is "partial 16S ribosomal RNA". It matches the Rfam family "Bacterial small subunit ribosomal RNA", at positions 28 to 507 of the family's 1533-position model. The record is from RNAcentral.
GAUGAACGCUGGCGGCGUGCCUAAUACAUGCAAGUCGAGCGAACGGACGAGAAGCUUGCUUCUCUGAUGUUAGCGGCGGACGGGUGAGUAACACGUGGAUAACCUACCUAUAAGACUGGGCUAACUUCGGGAAACCGGAGCUAAUACCGGCUAAUAUUUUGAACCGCAUGGUUCUAAAGUGACAGACGGUCUUGCUGUCACUUAUAGCUGGAUCCGCGCUGCAUUAGCUAGUUGGUAAGGUAACGGCUUACCAAGGCAACGAUACAUAGCCGACCUGAGAGGGUGAUCGGCCACACUGGAACUGAGACACGGUCCAGACUCCUACGGGAGGCAGCAGUAGGGAAUCUUCCGCAAUGGGCGAAAGCCUGACGGAGCAACGCCGCGUGAGUGAUGAAGGUCUUCGGAUCGUAAAACUCUGUUAUUAGGGAAGAACAUAUGUGUAAGUAACUGUGCACAUCUUGACGGUACCUAAUCAGAAAGCCACGGCUAACUACGUG